AUCCCCGAGGCGGCCCUGCGCCCGGGCGCGCCGGCUGGGGCUCUGGCGCUCUCGCAGGCCCCGAGGCCGACAGUCCCGGCGAGGGCGGGCGCCCCGCGCUCCAGCACCGGCUGCCUGAGCGCUCCUGGAGCAGCAAACCCCAGACUUCUUCCUCCUUCUCUCCUUCCUUCCUUCCCCCUCCCCUUAUCUUUUUCUUUUUUUAGUCUCUUUCUCCCUCUUUUUCUGCCCUGUGUCCUUUUUAUUUUUUCUCUACGACUGUUUUUGCAAGUUUGUUUCAAAAGUUCACAGCAUGCUUUCUUUUCUUUUAGACCGGGAGACAGUGAUCUCACCCACACGGUAAGAUCAAAAGUCUCCGCUCGCCCAGCCUGCGGGCUUGGGCUGGGUCCAGACGUCUCCCAGGAUGCAGAUGCGCCGCCGCUGGCCUCCCCGGCUAUAAAGCCGCCUCCAGCGCCUUUCCGCGCGCAGGAGCGCUCGGAGUUGUGGGGUACGGACCCCAG
RNAcentral lists this long non-coding RNA (497 nucleotides) under Homo sapiens (human). Its description in RNAcentral is "non-protein coding lnc-ZNF536-8:10". The record is from RNAcentral. Lineage: Eukaryota; Metazoa; Chordata; Mammalia; Primates; Hominidae.